AGAGUUUGAUCCUGGCUCAGAUUGAACGCUGGCGGCAUGCCUUACACAUGCAAGUCGAACGGCAGCACGGACUUCGGUCUGGUGGCGAGUGGCGAACGGGUGAGUAAUACAUCGGAACGUGCCUGGUAGUGGGGGAUAACUACUCGAAAGAGUGGCUAAUACCGCAUGAGAUCUACGGAUGAAAGCAGGGGAUCGCAAGACCUUGUGCUACUAGAGCGGCCGAUGGCAGAUUAGGUAGUUGGUGGGAUAAAAGCUUACCAAGCCAACGAUCUGUAGCUGGUCUGAGAGGACGAUCAGCCACACUGGGACUGAGACACGGCCCAGACCCCUACGGGAGGCAGCAGUGGGGAAUUUUGGACAAUGGGCGAAAGCCUGAUCCAGCAAUGCCGCGUGCAGGAUGAAGGCCUUCGGGUUGUAAACUGCUUUUGUACGGAACGAAAAGCUUCGGGUUAAUACCCUGGAGUCAUGACGGUACCGUAAGAAUAAGCACCGGCUAACUACGUGCCAGCAGCCGCGGUAAUACGUAGGGUGCAAGCGUUAAUCGGAAUUACUGGGCGUAAAGCGUGCGCAGGCGGUUUUGUAAGGCAGAGGUGAAAUCCCCGGGCUCAACCUGGGAACUGCCUUUGUGACUGCAAGGCUAGAGUACGGCAGAGGGGGGAUGGAAUUCCGCGUGUAGCAGUGAAAUGCGUAGAUAUGCGGAGGAACACCGAUGGCGAAGGCAAUCCCCUGGGCCUGUACUGACGCUCAUGCACGAAAGCGUGGGGAGCAAACAGGAUUAGAUACCCUGGUAGUCCACGCCCUAAACGAUGUCAACUGGUUGUUGGGUCUUCAUUGACUCAGUAACGAAGCUAACGCGUGAAGUGACCGCCUGGGGA
Molecule: ribosomal RNA, 875 nt
Filed under: uncultured organism
Description: bacterial SSU rRNA
Rfam family: Bacterial small subunit ribosomal RNA
Source: RNAcentral